This is a non-coding RNA of Acanthosepion pharaonis, 112 nucleotides long. NCBI's taxonomy places the organism in Eukaryota, Metazoa, Mollusca, Cephalopoda, Sepiida, Sepiidae. The record is from the annotation of a GenBank genome assembly.
AUGGCCACAUCACUUUGAAACACCAGUUCCUAUACAAUCUCCAAAGUUAAGCAAUGUCGCACCAGGUCAGUACCUAGAUGGAUAACUGCUUGGGAAUACCAAGAGCUGUAAG